Molecule: small RNA, 298 nt
Filed under: Octodon degus (degu)
Lineage: Eukaryota; Metazoa; Chordata; Mammalia; Rodentia; Octodontidae
Description: 7SK RNA (ENSODEG00000022502.1)
Source: RNAcentral
UGACAUUAAGAACCUAUGUCACCCCACUGAUGGCCAGGGCUGACUGGGCUGGCCUGACUCUGCAUGUGUGUCCCUCUGCUCUACUGCUCUACGUGAGCACAUUCUUAAGCUGCGCUCAGUGUGAGAUGGCGACCACCCUAAUAGAAGAGAAGCCCUUACUUGGUCAAGAGUAUAGUUGUAGCGCAGCUCUCUGAUAGAGCCUUCAAACAAAAUCACUGUACCUUUACUUAUACAUAUUCUAUCCCAGAUUUCCAGUAAUAACUAUAUGGAAACAAAACAAAUAAGCAGAAAAUAAUGU